GUCUAUGACCAUGCCACCCUGAAAAGUCCGAUGUAUGAUCUCGGAAGCUAAGCAGGGUCAGGACUAGUUAGUACUUGGAUGGAGACUACCUAGGAAGGCCAGAUGCUGUAGGCA
RNAcentral lists this ribosomal RNA (114 nucleotides) under Pteropus alecto (black flying fox). Lineage: Eukaryota; Metazoa; Chordata; Mammalia; Chiroptera; Pteropodidae. The record is from RNAcentral.